This 286-nucleotide long non-coding RNA is filed under the name Gossypium barbadense (sea-island cotton). RNAcentral's name for it is "long non-coding RNA (GBAR_LNC012562)". The record is from RNAcentral. Lineage: Eukaryota; Viridiplantae; Streptophyta; Magnoliopsida; Malvales; Malvaceae.
GAUGGCCUUCACAAUGAGCUUAGGAUACUGAUAGCUCCACAGAGGGAGCGUGAUUUCGCUGCGUUGGUGGAAAAGGCUAACAUAGCUGAGAAAGUAAAGAGAACUGAAUGACAGAAUCGUGAGAAGGAUCGACCCAGACUUAGGAGGGAUUCUAGACCCUCGAGUGCUGCAAGUAGGUAUGUUAAAAGAGCUAGAAUGGAGGGACCGGUUCGAGCAGUUCCAGUGAAUACUUUUAGACCGCAGGCUGGCAGGGACUGUGGUAGGGUGCAUAUGGGGGAGUGCUAGA